CGUACACUCCUACGGGAGGCAGCAGUGGGGAAUUUUGGACAAUGGGCGAAAGCCUGAUCCAGCCAUGCCGCGUGCAGGAUGAAGGCCUUCGGGUUGUAAACUGCUUUUGUACGGAACGAAACGGCCUUUUCUAAUAAAGAGGGCUAAUGACGGUACCGUAAGAAUAAGCACCGGCUAACUACGUGCCAGCAGCCGCGGUAAUACGUAGGGUGCAAGCGUUAAUCGGAAUUACUGGGCGUAAAGCGUGCGCAGGCGGUUAUGUAAGACAGUUGUGAAAUCCCCGGGCUCAACCUGGGAACUACAUCUGUGACUGCAUAGCUAGAGUACGGUAGAGGGGGAUGAAAUUCCGCGUAUAGCAGUGAAAUGCGUAGAUAUGCGGAGGAACACCGAUGGCGAAGGCAAUCCCCUGAACCUGUACUGACGCUCAUGCACGAAAGCGUGGGGAGCAAACAGGAUUAGAUACCCUUGUAGUCCCA
This 476-nucleotide ribosomal RNA is filed under the name uncultured organism. RNAcentral's name for it is "partial 16S ribosomal RNA". It matches the Rfam family "Bacterial small subunit ribosomal RNA", at positions 330 to 797 of the family's 1533-position model. The record is from RNAcentral.